This 1315-nucleotide long non-coding RNA is filed under the name Salmo salar (Atlantic salmon). RNAcentral describes it as "lncRNA (ENSSSAG00000112403.1)". The record is from RNAcentral. Lineage: Eukaryota; Metazoa; Chordata; Actinopteri; Salmoniformes; Salmonidae.
GUUGUUUUCUUCUUCUGAGGACGGGAAAGUUACAGCCAGGGCUUCCUGUCUGCGACUGCCUUCAUGUUGGUGAUUUGUGUUAAAUUGACAACAUAUAGUAUGGUCCUUCUUUGGGGGGCAGAAUUGGCAUCUCCUCCUCUUGCCUGCCCCAGCUACAGCCUCAGGUGGAUCAGGACAAGAUUCAUCCCCCUGAACAGCUUUCACAAGCGCUGAAGAGGCUGCUGUGCGGGGGAGGUGUUCCCUUCUUUGAAUGUGUGGGGUUACAAGUGGCUUUCCCAGCUGCUCCAGGAACACCCUCCUCUUGUUCCACUUAUCAGGCAUCCAGUCCAGGAUGAUGGCUGGCUUUCCGGUCCUCACGAUCACUGAUCUCAGCCAUUUUGUGCAGUGUGCUCAGGAGGACCACAUUCUUGUUCCUCUUUGGGAGGCAGGUUUUCUGUUGGUGAAAUUCCUGAUGAUUUGAGGCGUUCCAAGCGUGCGCUGGGUGCUGAUGUUCCCGACGGAACAUUGGAGUGCAGGCUGGCAACCGCAGAGGAUUCUGGGUAAUAAAGCUGCAGAUGAGUGUGUGCGUGCAUGCGCAUGUCUGAGUGUGUGCGUGCAUGCGCAUGUCUGAGUGUGUGUGUGCACGCGCAUGUGUGAGUUAGAGUAUCCUCAGUCACAGCUGUUCCUUGUCUCUCCUCUGUCUAAUGUGAUCUUACUGACAGACCUUCUCCUCAGUGCAGAUGUCUACUGCCGACAGGCCAGUGCCUGUGGGUGUAGCUCAGUUGUGGCUGGAGGUUACCCAGGUUAGAGUGCCCUCUGGCUAGGCUAACCUAUUUCUCCUUUCCCGGCCAGGAUAAUGGAUUGGUGUGGAUGGAGGUCAGGAGGGGAAGUUUUCCCUGUUUUCUCUUCUCCUCCUCUAUAACUGAACCUACAGUUAGUCUGUCUGGACAUUCAUCUCUGGAAGCUUCCCUUUUCCCCUAACGUAAACAACAUGGGGCACCAGAAGUCUUUCAAUGGAUAAGAUGGUCACAGUCUGGAGUUCAUUCGAAUCCGCCAAUGCUACGUUUACACAGUAAUGUACUGCUGCCUGCAAACACGCUUCUAUUCGAUGGACUAUUUAUUCCUUUGAGUGACCAAGUCACUCACUUUACUAUAUAUUUGUAAAUACAGUGUAUUAAAGUCCAUUAUUAAUACAUACUACCUCUCUUAUUACUUCUAGUACUUGUUAAUUUUGACUACACUCUUUUUAUUGUUAUUGACUAAUGUACUGCACUUCUUGUACCUGCAGUAAACUGUAUAUGUGACAAAUAAAAUUUGAUUUGAUUUCUUGUUCCCG